GGAAAUUCCUGGGCACGGGCAGCCGAGUCCAAAUAUGAGCAAAGGAGCCGAGCGAGGGAGGACCGCCGAGCGCCCGCCGCGGACGGGGCCGGCUGCCCGGGCCUCGGAGCCGCCAACUCCCUCCUCCUCCGCAGCCUCCUCCGGAUCCUCCUCCGCAGCCUCCUCCACAGCCGCCCCGGGGCCGCCGGCCGCCGCGCGCCACCCGGGGCUGGAACCCCUCUGCCGCGGGGCAUCUCUCCAAUGCUGGGGCCCCAGAGCAGAGCAGAGCAUCCCACCCACGGGUCCCCCCGAGACCCCUGAAGCAGCAGGAAAGAGAGAAACCAGGACGAGGAGACCGGACGGCGAGCCGGAGACCCGUGGGAGGACGUUUAAGGGGUUUGAGGAGACUCGUGCGCCGCCCCUAAAGACUUGAGAGCUUUGGUAGUGAGGGGAUAAAAAGGUCUGGCAAUUCUCUAAGUGUGGGAGGGUUAAGCUGGAGCGGCGCUGCCAGCCAGGCACACGCUCAGGUGAGCGGUCCUCUACACAACGAACGGGCGUUAUAAUACGUAAAAAACCACCCCCUGCAUUCCAGACCCCAGUCACCAAAAGCACUAAGAUGACAAGGGUGCUACCAAGACAUCAGGUGAGACCCCCAAACAAAAAACAGAAAGCUGAAUUAAAGCGAGCAUUUUCCUUCCUUCCAUGAAUCUCAAACGGCAUUUUUUAAUAUUCACCGUUGAAGCCAUCCCUUUUGUUGACUGAUCCUGGAGAGACUUGAAGUAUGUAUUCCCAUGAUUAAUGGGCUGCCUGAUUCUACUGGCUUUGGCUGUGGAUAUGCUACAACAAGUAAUAAAUAUUACAGUGAGAUUUUAGAUGUUGCGGAGCAGUUAAAGAAUCCUCUCUGGACCAGCAAAGCUGCUUGGCUUUUGGCAAGAUUGUAUCCCACAAAGUGGUGUAUGCAAAACCAACUGGAUACACACAAAGAGAGAGACAGAGACGGAGACGGAGAAGUUGGAAGGGAGACAAGGAAGUUUUGAAGGGCGGCAGGAGGAAAG
Molecule: long non-coding RNA, 1034 nt
Filed under: Equus asinus (donkey)
Lineage: Eukaryota; Metazoa; Chordata; Mammalia; Perissodactyla; Equidae
Description: lncRNA (ENSEASG00005037252.1)
Source: RNAcentral